AUGGCGGCGACGGCGCACGGCAGCGGAAUGGUGGCGCAGCUUGGCGCAGGGUGUUGGGGGCGGUGGCGUCGACUGCCGGCGUCGGCGCUUGGUGGCAGCGCCUGGCUGCGGGGGCGUCGAGUGCCGGCGGCGGCGCUUGGUGGCGGCGCCCGGCGGCGGGGAUGGCAGCGCCCGGCGGCGAACGGUGGCGACGAGAAUGGCGGAAUAGUGGCUCUUGCGGAGCCAAAUCUCGACAGAGCCGAGGAGAGGAGAGCCUCACGGAUGGGGACGAGAAGUGCACGUGAGUCGAUCCCGACGGCAAAGGUGAGCAGCAGCCGGUGGCUAGCGGACGCCCCCCUCCCGGACGUGGCGAUGAUGGGUUUCUUGACAACGGUCAGCUUGGCCUCCGUGCAAGCGAGGGCUCGGCGAUGGUAACAGUGACAGA
Molecule: long non-coding RNA, 424 nt
Filed under: Oryza sativa Indica Group (long-grained rice)
Lineage: Eukaryota; Viridiplantae; Streptophyta; Magnoliopsida; Poales; Poaceae
Description: lncRNA OsMH63_01G014720
Source: RNAcentral